GAACGCACAUUGCGCCCGCCAGUAUUCUGGCGGGCAUGCCUGUUCGAGCGUCAUUUCAACCAUCAAGCCCCAGGCUUGUGUUGGAGCCCUGCGGCUGCUCGCAGCCUCCUAAAAUCAGUGGCGGGCUCGCUAUCACACCGAGUGCAGUAGUUUUCUCUUCGCUCUGGACGUGUAGCGGGUUCCGGCCGUGAAACCCCUCAAAUUUUUAAGGUUGACCUCGGAUCAGGUAGGAAUACCCGCUGAACUUAAG
This 250-nucleotide unclassified non-coding RNA is filed under the name uncultured fungus. RNAcentral's name for it is "sequence contains 5.8S rRNA gene". The stretch from base 1 to 53 matches the Rfam family "5.8S ribosomal RNA", at positions 102 to 154 of the family's 154-position model. The record is from RNAcentral. Lineage: Eukaryota; Fungi.